This 322-nucleotide long non-coding RNA is filed under the name Ananas comosus (pineapple). RNAcentral's name for it is "long non-coding RNA (ACOM_LNC020088)". The record is from RNAcentral. Lineage: Eukaryota; Viridiplantae; Streptophyta; Magnoliopsida; Poales; Bromeliaceae.
UUUCCUAACAGAUGGAUAAGCUCAAACUAAAUAUCAACUUAAAAACCAUUCUAACAAGAUAAAAAUAUGAUAACAAAAUCUCAACCUAUCCUAAUAGAAUAAAAAUCUCAUAAGAUCUCAACCUAUCCUAACAAAAUAAUUAAAUCUCAACUUAUCCAAAGAAACAAAUUUUUAAAUAAAAUCACAUAAUCUUAGAUACUUCUAGAAACUAAUGGGUGCUACUCAAUCCGAACCCAAUCCGGAUCUCAAGUUACAUUUGCGGUGUCGACGGCGCUCGUACACUCGAAAGGUGACCCGAUCCGCAUCAACUUUCCCCGCCUUC